AAUAAGCGCAACUAUGAGUUUCCGUGUCCAACUUUAAUCGUAUGUUUUAUUUGAAAAAAAUUAUGAUUAGUAUUUUUAUAGUUAUUAGAUUAUAAUACAUGAAUAGUACUUUAUGUGUGACUUAUGUUUUUUAUUUUUUUCAAAAAAAUUAAAUAAAACGAACGAUUAAAGUUGGUCACGGAAACUCAUAGCUGCGCUUAUU
Non-coding RNA from Oryza barthii, 202 nucleotides. Lineage: Eukaryota; Viridiplantae; Streptophyta; Magnoliopsida; Poales; Poaceae. The record is from Rfam.